RNAcentral lists this ribosomal RNA (484 nucleotides) under uncultured bacterium. RNAcentral's name for it is "partial 16S ribosomal RNA". It matches the Rfam family "Bacterial small subunit ribosomal RNA", at positions 29 to 507 of the family's 1533-position model. The record is from RNAcentral.
AUUGAACGCUGGCGGCAGGCCUAACACAUGCAAGUCGAGCGGAUGAAGGGAGCUUGCUCCUGGAUUCAGCGGCGGACGGGUGAGUAAUGCAUAGGAGUCUGCCUGGUAGUGGGGGAUGACGUCCGGAAACGGGCGCUAAUAUCGCAUACGUUCUGAGGGAGAAAGAGGGGGAUCUUGGGACAACAAGCUAACAGCUGAGCCUAGGUCGGAUUCGCUAGUUGGUGGGGUAAAGGCCUACCAAGGCGACAAUCCGUACCGGGCCUGAGAGGAUGAUCAGUCACACUGGAACGGGAAAACGGUCCAGACUCCUACGGGAGCAGCCAUUGGGGAACAUUGGACAAGGGCGGAAAGCCUGACGCAGCCAGGCCGGGUGGGGGAAGAAGGUCUUCGGAUGGUAAAGCAUUUUAAUUUGGGAGGAAGUGCAGUAAGGUAAAACCUUGCUGUUUUGACGGUACCAACAGAAUAAGCACCGGCUAACUUCGUG